This is a long non-coding RNA of Bos taurus (domestic cattle), 4953 nucleotides long. NCBI's taxonomy places the organism in Eukaryota, Metazoa, Chordata, Mammalia, Artiodactyla, Bovidae. The record is from Ensembl.
UGAUGUUUGUCAUUUUUAUUUGCAAUACUGUAGGUCCAAGUUUCAAACUGCAUUAUUUUUACACUCAAGACACAGUCAUGCACAAUCCAUAUUUCAAUUUUCUAUUGCUUCAACCACAAUUUAAAGUAACAAUAUCAUAAACAAAAGUCCUUAAAAAGAGCAGAUGCUGAGGUCAGAAGGAUGGAACCAUACCAUCAGCAGGUUUACAAAAGAAAUAAUUUAUUUAAAAAAUCAAACAGAAAGACCAUAAAUACCUUUAAUUCAGUUACAGAAGAAUUUCACUACACAUGGGUUUACAGAUAACACAUUUUAACAAAAGUAAAGCACAGCCAAAUGAGAUACAACUCUGAUAAUGAAAACACAGAUCCUCCUUAACUUGUUUUGUCUGGAUAUUAUGAGUAUAAUCCCAGUACAUAUCACUAACUACCCUGUGAUCUGUCUCUUCCUUGCUGAUGUACUGAGAUUUAAAACUCAACCCACUAGUGGUUACAGAAUUCUGUGAAAGGUCUUAUUAUCACUAAUGAAUAUAGUAUAUGCGGGUCCAUAAAGCACACCACACACAAGCACACACACUGAACUUGAAUUUCACACUUAGGGCUGGUUGGCACUGCUGUAGGCAGGACAUUGGGACUGUCCACUAACUACAAGUUGAUCCUCUUUAUAGUAUCAUACUCAUCCAAUUGGCCAAUCCCUGUGGGAGCUGUCAUCAGAAAUGCUGUCUUUGGUUCCCAAGUGGAUUUGUCAACACUCCUUAAUGUUAAUAGCAUGUAAUCACUUUUUCCUUUUUCUCUCUGCAACCUGCAAAUGUUUAGGCCCACUCAGUAGUCCCAGCCAUGGCAUGGGUUCUGCCAUCUUGUGCCAUUUUGGAAAUAAACUCUAUAAAGCCCAACACUGCUUCAUAGGAAAGGAGAGGCCGAAGUAUAGUUCUAUUCUAGCAAGUGUGACAGUGUAUUUCUGUUCUAGUAGCGAAUACUGGCCACAGCUUAAUGAAAACCAGACUUUACAUACAGAGUGUAUGGAAAAGAAAAGCUGGAACACUCAACAGAAAAGGAACACUAAAUCAAAAACAAAACAACAGUGAAGGAAUUGGAAGGCUGCCACGAGUUUUAUCAACAUUCCCUAGUAUUUAUUCACUUCAUUUACUUGAGGUUUGAUAUUUUUUUUUGGCAUCAUCUUACAUAGUUCUAUUGUUUAACUGCAACAUAAGAGACCCAGGCUUAAGCAUAUGAUAUUUGCCAUCACUUUAGCAGGAUGAAUUAUCAAGGCAAUCUAUAGUACCACAGAAUGUUAGAGCUUUGGAAAGCCUUGGAGAGCUAGUCCAACACCUUUAUUUUAUAAAUGUGGAAACAGACACAACAUGGUUAAGUGACUUGCCCAAGGGCACACAGUAAGUUAGGAGCAGAGCCUACAUUAGAAUCCAAGUAUUCUUAUUUCUGGGCUUCCCUGGUGGCUCAGUUGGUAAAGAAUCUGCCCGCAAUGUGGGAGAUCUGGGUUCAAUCCCUGCAUUGGGAAGAUCCGCUGGAGAAGGAAAUGGCAACCCACUCCAGUAUUCUUGCCUGGGAAAUCCCACGGACAGAUGAGCCUGGUGGGCUACACCCAUGGGGUCGCAAGAGUCGGACAUGACUUGGUGACUACACCACCACCACCAUUCUUACUUCUAGGUUAGCACUACUUCCAUUACAUCUGAUUGAUUCUAAUUGCUGUUGAUUUCCUCAUAGGUCCUAAAUCAGAUGCACAUGGUACCUGCCUCACUACUGGUAUUAUGGGAUAGCAUUCAUCUGACGGCAGCUUCCAAAGGAGACUCUGAUGGCACUAAACAGCUUCUAUAAGUUUAUCUUACAAGUGUGACUGUAUCAUGUGGCAGUAAAUGCUCCUCAUUAUUAUUGUCUACUUGAACACAAAAGUGUGCACGUGGAAGUUAUAGUCUCAGUUCCCGCAUUUGCAGAUUCAGUUAGAUACUGCUUGAUAUUACACAGACAUCCUCAAUGCAUGAGGAAUCGGGUUUAUAUUCACUUGGUCACUAAAGGAGCAUGGGAUCAGAAAAGGAAUGGAAAAAAAGCCUACCAACAGAAAGAUCAUAUCAGAAACCAAUUUCUGAUGAAAAAGUCUUUCUUAGGAAAAACAGUUCCAUUAUUUCUAGGGUCCCCUUUAAUCCUUUCCCAAUUCACAUGCAAAUAUAUGUUCAGAAUUGUGUGUUAAGUUCACUCAAAAUCUCAGGUCUGGUAGACUGUCAGUUUACAAAUGCUGAAUUUCAGUCCUCUUGCUCAGAGACUAGGAGUAGGCCAUCACUGGCCAUGCCUUUGUUUAAACAAAUAUUAACUGCAAGUAGCUCAGAAAAGGACCAUGAGUAACAACUGGGGAUGUCAGGGUUAAGACUCUGAUAAGUAGAUUAUAUGUUGAGAAUGGCCCCAAGUGGGUUCUCUAGAUAAAAGGUCUGCUCUUGGUGAAACUAACACCUGAGGCCACUACCGUAUCAUAAAAGUCCUCACCUGCAAAGUCUUUGGUGAGUUACCAGGAAAUUCCUCUCUCUGGGUAGAUAGUCUCCCUGAUUUCUGUUUAAAAUGACAGUAGUUACUGCAUACAACCUAUAAUUAGGCAGAUCAGAAAGCACCUAGAGGUCACCAUCUCAGGCCAAAGCUCAAAGGAGUUGAGAUUGAAUGCCAAGAGGCCAGGGCUGUUCUAAAUGUUUGUCUCAAUAUUUUCACAGUCAGCUUUUAAGUGCAAGUCAUAACUUCUACUGAAAUCAACAGGACUUGCCUACUGUUUAUUAAAAGAAAAUCCUACCUGAAUGAUAGUAUAUCCUGUUGGAAAAGGAAAUGGUGGGAGCUGGGGAUUUUAACCUUCUGUUCUUCCAAAAUUCAACCUAAAAUCUGCUAAAAUGAUCCAGAAAGGCAGUACCUGAAACAGAUGUUGUCAGAGGGGCUUAUGCAAAGUGACCCCUCCAAUCUAAAGUAAGUAAAACAGAAAACUUAAGGCCAUACCAAAGCAGAGGGGGCAGCCAGCCAGUUUGAAAGCAGAAGGAUGUGUUUGAAGUUCUAAUAGUGACAUCUCCCUGGCUUUAACUUAUAGAUACUAGUCCCCGAAGAAAGCAUGUGCCAUACCGAGUGUGUGCCAACCGCAGCAUCCAGGCAAAUAUAAAGCCUAUGGAAUAAUUGUAAUUAGCAAAUAUCUGUGCCCUGCAUGCUCUGGGCUCUGGCCAGAAGGCAUCUGCUUCUGGCAUCUUUUCUAUGUUUCUAUAGUCCCCUUUCUGAUGUUUAUUUUUUAUAAAGCAAUAGUAUAACAAUAUCAAAGAAAAUCUUAACAAGAAAAAAAUGUGCAUAAUCCCACCACCCCAACACAACUGAUUUCAAUUGUCUGUGUUCCCAGUCUUUGUUCAUAUGCACACUUAUUUUUACAUAGUUGUCAUCCCUAUUUAUGUUAUUUAAAGGUGAUUUUAUAGAUUCUCUCUGAGAACUGGCAGCCUCAUUAGAAAUAAACAACCCAUUGAGCAAAGGAAUAGAAUUAUUUACACAAUCUUUGAGCUGAGAAAUAUCGUUUAUAGACAAACAUCUCAAACUAUCAAAACAGUUUUACAGACGACAGGAAGCAAUUUCGUAUUUCUUUUUCUUUUAGCAAUGGAAUGUGCUUCACAAGGGAGGGAAAGAUGUGGGGAUCAGGUGGUUAAAAUCAAACACUGGGGUGCAAUUCACAAGCUUGAAAGAAAUCUGAAUAACGCAAUUAAAGAAUAAAUACUUGAGUUAAAUCUUCUUACAUGACUUGGCCAUCCAGUAGCCAAAAUGGAACAUGGACACACAAAUAUUUACAAUGACACAUAGACGAGAUCAGCAAGAACGAAGUCAUUACCCAACACGGUGACUGAUUUGAGGGGAUGUGUCAUCCAAAAAUCUUCAUAGGAUGAUGACAACGUGCUGGAUCCUUGCUACAACAUUAACGUUCUUUUCUUUCUUAAAUAAAUAAUCUCUACUGUGCUUCUCACCCUUCCCUGACUUUCCCACUGCCCUAUCCCUAUCUCAGGACAUUUUGGAAUCAACAUUCGAUGAUGCGCCCUCCUUAUCUCAGGGCACGCAUAGACUCACCAAUGUCAAGAUGAGCUACAAAAAAAUAAUCCAGGAAAAGGGAAUAAACUAUUAACCAUCUGGAGUACAACUUGGUCAGGUAUACCAAGUGUAAAUCCCUCAGCAUCAUUUUGGCAGGAGAAACAGCUUCUCUCUAAUACUUAUUAGAAAUAUACAUAACUCUCCAACACAGGGAAUGGUCUUUAGAAGCUGUUCUCAUUUUAAAAUUUACAUAGAUAUAAAUCUGUAAGAGUAAAGCCUACUGGGAUAUAUUAUCAUAAAAUCUUGGUACAACAGGAUGUGGUGAAGUAGUACAAGACUCCUCGUUGUUAACAUGCUGAAUUGAAAGCAUAAAAGAGCAGCCAUUUCUCUGCCUCCAGUAAUCUGAAGGAUCACUGCUCCAGGUGUCCUUCCACCAAAAAAAUGCCUUCAUGACAUAUAAGGGAUGCUCACGGACAAUUAGGGCUUCCCAACCAGGUUUGGGGCUCUCUCCAGUGGCAGGGCAUAGGUACCAAUGUACUGAAUUCUAUUUGCAUCCCACCUAUUGUUUCAUUGAAUUCCCUGGUACGAUGAAUGAAAAAUUUAAAAAAUACUUAAUUUUAAAUGAAAUCAAAAUUAAGGCCUCACUCUCUCUCACACAUAAAACAGUGUGGCAUUAACAUUUUCAGGCCCAGCCACGUCUUUGUGAAGAAUAACAUAAUAUGGUUCAAAUUAAUAUUACUCUUUGAUCUUUUCACAUUUGCUGUUUUAUGCCCUUGUGCACAUUUUCUAGGGGCAGGGCUCAAGCCCCUCCCAAAUUUCAUAGUCAAAGGAAACAACAGGAAAUCCACCAGCGGUGUUAUCUCCUAAAUAUAAACAUGUGCACUAUAUGGUUGGUUAGCAAAAACUCUAAAGAAAG